CCUACGGGGGGCUGCAGUGAGGAAUUUUCCGCAAUGGGCGCAAGCCUGACGGAGCGACGCCGCGUGAGGGAUGAAGGCUUUCGGGUUGUAAACCUCUUUUGUUUGGGAAAAAGGUCCGCGUGCUCAUACCACGUGGAUUUGAUGGUACUAAGCGAAUAAGCCCCGGCUAACUACGUGCCAGCAGCCGCGGUAAUACGUAGGGGGCGAGCGUUGUCCGGAAUUACUGGGCGUAAAGGGCGUGUAGGCUGUUGGGUAAGUCUGGUGUGAAAUGCUACGGCUCAACCGUGGCACUGCGCUGGAAACUGCCUGACUGGAGUGCAGGAGGGGUCACUGGAAUCCCCGGUGUAACGGUGAAAUGUGUAGAUAUCGGGGGGAACACCUGUGGCGAAGGCGGGUGACUGGCCUGCAACUGACGCUGAGACGCGAAAGCGUGGGGAGCAAACAGGAUUAGAUACCCCUGUAGUC
RNAcentral lists this ribosomal RNA (465 nucleotides) under uncultured bacterium. RNAcentral's name for it is "bacterial SSU rRNA". It matches the Rfam family "Bacterial small subunit ribosomal RNA", at positions 338 to 795 of the family's 1533-position model. The record is from RNAcentral.